UCAGAUUAGAGAUGCUCAACCAUUAAACACGUAUCCCAAACCCCCAAAUGUCAACUCCAAGCCCCAAAGCCAGCCAGUGAAGCUCUGGAAUCAGAAGCACAUGGGGCCAGGUGUGGACGAGGUGUGCUCGGCCUGUUCUGCGUUGUGCGGAAUCACACAUUGGGGUGGCUCCAGGCUCCUGACUACCGCUCAAUGCAAUGGCCAGUUUUCCAGAUGCCAUCUAGGCUCCUCACGGCUCAUGGGAACUCCAUGUAUCCUCCCAUGUCUGUCAACCCAUCCCAACCCUAUAACAGACCCACCUUCUAGCUUCCCUUCAUUUCUUUUUAAGGCAGGGUCUCUACAUAGCCCUACCUGUCCUGAAACUUGCUCUGUAACCAAGUAAAUUUACUUGCCUCUGCCUCUCAAGUGCUGGCAUU
Molecule: long non-coding RNA, 416 nt
Filed under: Rattus norvegicus (Norway rat)
Lineage: Eukaryota; Metazoa; Chordata; Mammalia; Rodentia; Muridae
Description: long non-coding RNA NONRATT012883
Source: RNAcentral